AGUGAACGCUGGCGGCAGGCCUAACACAUGCAAGUCGAACGGCAGCACAGUAAGAGCUUCCUCUUACGGUUGGCGAGUCGCGGACGGGUGAGACAUACAUCGGACCUUACUUUUUCAUGGGGACUAACGUAGGGAAACUCACCUUAAUACCCCAUACGACCUACGGGUGAAAGCAGGGGAUCUUCGGACCUUGCGCGACUGAUUGACCCGCUGUCGGAUUAGCAAGUUGGCGGGGUAAAGGCCCACCAAGGCGACGAUCCGUAGCUGGUCAGAGAGGAUGAUCGGCCACACUGGAACUGAGACACGGUCCGAACUCCUACGGGAGGCAGAAGUGGGGAAUAUUCGACAAUGGGGGCAAGCCUGAUCCGGCCAGCCCGGUGGGGUGAGGAAGGCCUCCGGGUUGUAAAGCCCGUUUGUUGGGAAAGAAAGGCAGCAGGUUAAUACCCCGAUGGACUGACGGUACCCAAAGAAUAAGCACCGGCUAACUUCGUG
RNAcentral lists this ribosomal RNA (492 nucleotides) under uncultured bacterium. RNAcentral's name for it is "partial 16S ribosomal RNA". It matches the Rfam family "Bacterial small subunit ribosomal RNA", at positions 29 to 507 of the family's 1533-position model. The record is from RNAcentral.